RNAcentral lists this ribosomal RNA (400 nucleotides) under uncultured bacterium. RNAcentral's name for it is "bacterial SSU rRNA". It matches the Rfam family "Bacterial small subunit ribosomal RNA", at positions 355 to 750 of the family's 1533-position model. The record is from RNAcentral.
UCGAGAAUCUUCGGCAAUGGGCGAAAGCCUGACCGAGCAACGCCGCGUGCGGGAUGAAGGCCUUCGGGUUGUAAACCGCUGUCAGUGGGAAACAAAUCCAUAGGGGUACUCCCCUAUGGUCGAGUGCUCCGCAGAGGAAGCACGGGCUAAGUUCGUGCCAGCAGCCGCGGUAAGACGAACCGUGCAAACGUUAUUCGGAAUCACUGGGCUUAAAGAGUUCGUAGGCGGCCAUGCAGGUGAGAUGUGAAAUCCCUCGUCUCAACCGAGGAAUUGCGUUUCAAACCGCAUGGCUAGAAGGAGACAGAGGUAAGCGGAACUGAUGGUGGAGCGGUGAAAUGCGUUGAUAUCAUCAGGAACACCAGUGGCGAAGGCGGCUUACUGGGUCUCUCUUGACGCUGAG